Molecule: long non-coding RNA, 220 nt
Filed under: Homo sapiens (human)
Lineage: Eukaryota; Metazoa; Chordata; Mammalia; Primates; Hominidae
Description: HSALNT0143755
Source: RNAcentral
UCUAAAUAUGUUCUUCCAAUGACCUGUAGCCUAAUCAACUCUGCUGGCAACACAUCCCUUUGCUCUGCUCAAUUCCAGUUUCCAUCAGAGAAUCUCAUUUUUCUUUUGGGAAAUGUUUCCUGAUUUUCGUCUUUUCCACCACCCCUCACUGAGGCUGGGUAAAGUCCUUCUCCAUGAUGUUUAGAACCCAGGCCUCCUUCUGUGGCAGGGCUCUCUACCC